GCAUAUCAAUAAGCGGAGGAAAAGAAACUAACAAGGAUUCCCCUAGUAACUGCGAGUGAAGCGGGAAAAGCUCAAAUUUAAAAUCUGGUAGUCUCUGGCUGCCCGAGUUGUAAUCUGGAGAAGUGUUUUCUGUGCUGGGCCGUGUACAAGUCUCUUGGAAUAGAGCGUCAUAGAGGGUGAGAAUCCCGUCUUUGACACGGACAUCCAGUGCUCUGUGAUGCACUCUCAAAGAGUCGAGUUGUUUGGGAAUGCAGCUCAAAAUGGGUGGUAAAUUCCAUCUAAAGCUAAAUAUUGGCAAGAGACCGAUAGCGAACAAGUACCGUGAGGGAAAGAUGAAAAGAACUUUGGAAAGAGAGUUAAACAGUACGUGAAAUUGUUGAAAGGGAAACGCUUGAAGUCAGUCGCGUCUAGCAAGGAUCAGCCUUUCUCGGAAGGUGUAUUUCUUGCUUGACGGGUCAACAUCAAUUUUGACUACUGGAAAAAGGCCAGAGGAAGGUGGCACCUUCGGGUGUGUUAUAGCCUUUGGUCAUAUACAGUAGUUGGGAUUGAGGAAUUCAGCAUGCCUUCAUGGCUGGGGUUCGCCCACAUUCAUGCUUAGGAUGUUGGCAUAAUGGCUUUAAGCGACCCGUCUUGAAACACGGACC
RNAcentral lists this ribosomal RNA (644 nucleotides) under Agroathelia rolfsii. Its description in RNAcentral is "eukaryotic LSU rRNA". It matches the Rfam family "Eukaryotic large subunit ribosomal RNA", at positions 38 to 667 of the family's 3401-position model. Lineage: Eukaryota; Fungi; Basidiomycota; Agaricomycetes; Amylocorticiales; Amylocorticiaceae. The record is from RNAcentral.